UUUAUUAAAUUUUUUAAUGACAAAAAAAAUUAUUUAUAAUUAUUAUUAUUAAUUCAAAAUUUCACCUAAAAUCAAUAAAUUUAAUUAUAAUUUUUAUUACAAUUUAAAUUAAUAUUAGAAAAAAUUAAUUUAUAAGUCAAGUUUAACCGCUAUUGCUGGCACUCAUAUUUAUCCUUACUAGAACUAAUUUCCGAAUAAAACUUUCAUUCAUUGUUUCAGAAUUCUCUAUUAACUAUAAUUUACUAUAAUUUUUAAUAAUUUUUAUAUUUUAUAUAUAAAUCAAUUAAUACAAUUAAUCUUAAAAACUACAACAUGAUUUAUUUAAUAAAUUUAUAAU
RNAcentral lists this ribosomal RNA (337 nucleotides) under Apis mellifera (honey bee). Its description in RNAcentral is "srRNA". The record is from RNAcentral. Lineage: Eukaryota; Metazoa; Arthropoda; Insecta; Hymenoptera; Apidae.